This is a long non-coding RNA of Brassica oleracea var. oleracea, 486 nucleotides long. RefSeq lists it as uncharacterized. The record is from RefSeq and is a predicted model, not a curated record. The transcript is spliced from 3 exons. NCBI's taxonomy places the organism in Eukaryota, Viridiplantae, Streptophyta, Magnoliopsida, Brassicales, Brassicaceae.
CAAUCUGACUUUGGCAUCCAGGGUUCAUCUUCAAACGAAUCUAUCGCCAUUAAUGGAGUUUCAGGAGGUUGUGUGAGGCGAAUCUUCAUGCAGAAUAUUUGGGUCGAGCUUCGUUUGUGUCGUUUCGUUUGAGAUUCUUCUCUUCCAUAACGUUACGGGAUUCAUCGCCAUUAAGAACUAUCUUUAAUUCUUCAAUCCACAACCAGCACGAUUAAUCAUUUAAUGCUUUGUAUUUCUCUUCCAGACGGUGUAUAUCCACCUAUAAAAGUGAGUUUCCGUUAUUGAUUUGGCAACGGAGCACGAGAAUAUAGAGAUCGAAUUCUUCUUCUCGAUUUGAAUAUCUUACAAACUAUGAUUCUGAUGUCUCAGAGGUACUGAUAAAGAAGAGGGCCAGAGGUUUCUCACAGUGGUAAAGAAAGAUGAAGAUGUGAACAAGGCCGGCUUAGAUAGGGGGGCGAGCGGUGCGACCGUCCCGGGUCCAAUCCG